This 485-nucleotide ribosomal RNA is filed under the name uncultured bacterium. Its description in RNAcentral is "partial 16S ribosomal RNA". It matches the Rfam family "Bacterial small subunit ribosomal RNA", at positions 29 to 506 of the family's 1533-position model. The record is from RNAcentral.
AUUGAACGCUGGCGGCAUGCCUUACACAUGCCAGUCGAACGGCAGCACGGGUGCUUGCACCUGGUGGCGAGUGGCGAACGGGUGAGUAAUACAUCGGAACAUGUCCUGUAGUGGGGGAUAGCCCGGCGAAAGCCGGAUUAAUACCGCAUACGAUCUACGGAUGAAAGCGGGGGACCUUCGGGCCUCGCGCUAUAGGGUUGGCCGAUGGCUGAUUAGCUAGUUGGUGGGGUAAAGGCCUACCAAGGCGACGAUCAGUAGCUGGUCUGAGAGGACGACCAGCCACCCGGGGAAUGAGAAACGGCCCAGACCCCCACGGGAGGCAGAAGGGGGGAAUUUGGGACAAGGGGCGAAAGCCUGAUCCAGAAAUGCCGCGUGGGUGAAGAAGGCCUUCGGGUUGUAAAGCACUUUUGUCCGGAAAAAAAUCCUUGGCCCUAAAACGGCCGGGGGAUGACGGUACCGGAAGAAUAAGCACCGGCUAACUACGG